Molecule: long non-coding RNA, 590 nt
Filed under: Aedes aegypti (yellow fever mosquito)
Lineage: Eukaryota; Metazoa; Arthropoda; Insecta; Diptera; Culicidae
Description: lncRNA AAEL026732
Source: RNAcentral
UAUUGAAAAGUCUACAUUGUUCAUUCCUGAUUAGCAGUCAUCGGCGUAAGACGUGUUUGUAUGUUUGUUAUUGUUUUUUAAUUAUAAAAAAUCAAUAAACUAGUGUUAGAAGCUGUUUUCCGGAAUGCUGAUUUACCAGAGGAAUUCAGUUAUCGUUUAACUGUUUUUGGUGCACGAUUUCCGAUGUCGAGAAGUGUCUGACAUAAUGCCUAGUUCUCAAUGGCUACCAUCCUCUCCGAUCUGCCGUUGGCCGUUACCCCCAUCCACCGUUCACGAUUCCCGGAACCGUUACCGACGAACUAUUGCUAAAAAUGAGAGGCUGGUUGUUGGACAAAAUGCAUGUCAUUCGUUGCCUGCUCGCUGUUCCUGCCAUUCCCAGCCUCCAUGUUCCGCCGUCAGGGGUCGAGCUGUCCAUUGGCGUUUCCAGUACAUUUUGCCGAUCCCGAUAAGUUUGAUGCUGCAACUUUACUCAUCCGAUCCAAAUUGUUUCCUGUGCUGAUGUCAUCAUUCCUGCCCUGCCACCCACGCGAUUGGUUUUUCAAAGCAAUUAUUAAUUGAAAUAAAACAAAACAAACUAUUAUAUCAUUCAA